GUGACUGCUCUAGGUCUUUUUUCUGCGUAGUUUUUUGACACUUACUUGUGAUAAUAAUGCCAACACAAUUUCAUGUUGCUUCGUGAAAGUGGCUUUGAGGGGGUGAAUUUUAAUGACAAUUCCGAGGUGUGCUAGUGAAAAAAUGAUGCCAUCAAAAUUGGCUUACAAGGUCCUCCCACACACAAAGACAAAAACUUCCAUCUCUUGCAAUCUAUUGUAAAAUAUCUACAUCAAAGCAAAACGGCAGGCUUCCUGUGCCUUUUCUGGCAUGGUUUCUUGAGAGUUUCUUGUGGAUCGCCUCAUGAUAAACAUGGCUAUCGAAAUCCGUGUCCAAGGCAUCGGAGCCCGGAUUUUCCCAGGAAACUAAUAUUUUGUAAGGGACAGAGAGCCGGUGCUGCCGCCAUCUUGAUCUGGCCACAUCCAUUUCGAUGGUGAUUCCCGUCUUUUGGAAGUCAUCCAAUUUGCUGUCGGCGCUGCAGAAUUGUGAGAUUGGCGCGGCGGAGGAUGUGCUCACCAGCUGUGAGAUUAAGGGGAACUGAUCGAUGGCCCUCCUGAUUGGGCGGCCCCGCGUCCCGCCAAGCAUCCAAUCCCCCGUGGUCGGCGAGCUUGUCCUCGGCGGAGCCAAAAGCAAUUCUUCCUCCUCACGGGGGCCAAAUAAGAGCACUGACCUGAAGCUUCAAGGCCACGCUUGGAGGCGCCGUCUCCAUCUUGUCUGGAGGAAAAAAAACAUCAAGCUGAAGGGGAAGAAACAUGAAGGGACUUAAAUUAAAAACAACACCGCAGCAUUAUGGACAAACCGGGAAGGAAAGAGGUCAAAGUUUUGCAUUCAAUGGUUGUUUUUAUUUUUUUAAAUCACACCUUGGUUUGUGUAGCAGCCUGUCCCAGAAAUGAUCUGUUACUCAAACAGCACGGGGUGAUCUCUAACGUGAUUUUCUGAGAGAAUAUUUCUAAUCCAUUUAAUUGUUGAAAUUGAAAUUGUAUCCUUAUUUAUUUCAAAUCGUAAGGCAUCUUUUGAUAAGUUAAUGUGACAAAAACAAAGCAUUAAUUUGAAAAAAUGCUUUUACAACACUUUUUAAAAUGCAUUUGUUAUUCAUCUCAUUUGUAAAGUUUUUUAUUUGAAAAUUACAUUGCAUCACAUCAUUAUAUACCAUUUUUUAAAAAUGCCAUUAAUAAGUAAAUAUUUAAAUUAUUAAUGCAUUAUGAAUGAAUCAACUUUUUGUUCAUAUCCAUUUUCCAAGCCGCUUAUCCUCACAAGGGUCGCAGGAGUGCUACCAUUGGGCGAAAUGCAGACUACACCCUGAACUGGUUGCCAGUCUGUCAAAGGGUACAUCAACACCAUCACUGAGCAGGAAUCGAUCCCACACUGCCCACUUAAAGUAAGAUUCCGUCUAGUGGAGCGUGUGUUUGAUGAGGAGAAACCGAGCGGAUGCCGUAAUUAUUUAUGCAAAGAACAUUGCAAGACUGGCAUAGUCGGCACAUCUAGUGACAGAAUGGGAGCCAAACCAUGGGUUGCGGGUGAGCUGGAGCCUUUCCCAGCUAUCUUCGGGCGAGGGCCAGGGCACACCCUGAACUCAUCGCCAAUUGCAGUGAAAGGUUUACUGGCCCUGGCAAUGCUGCUACCCUUGUGAGGAUCGUAGCUUUGGUGCUAUUGGUAAAACCAACGUGUUCAACUGCUGAUGACUGAAGAAUUGAAAACAAGCCUUCGAAAGAUGAGUCUACUCUUUGUUUUGGAAAAUACUGCAGAGACGUCUUGUGCUGUAAGCGUUCUUGUUCCUCAGAACGAGAGGAGACGCUGAAGAGCAAUGUGAAGAUUUACUGUAUGGAUUUGACCCGAAAACUCGUAUUUGGAGUCGUUGCCAGUGAGCACACAUCUCUUCCUCCUCCUCCCUCCCUCCCGGUCCUCCCGGCGCCACCGCAGGCGAGCUCGCUCCGUCCUGUUGCAGCCGGCCGACGGAAAGGUCCUGUCGGAGAAAAUCUCCCUCAGUUUGCUCAGGAAAAACACCUCCAGGUUUCGACCGGCCCGGGCCACCUCCGAGUCGGGCUGUGGGCAAGCCGGAGCAGAACGGUGGGGUCAGAGAUCCUGUUUCAUUUGUGUGACUUCAACAUCACACCGCUAAUGAGGCCCUAAUUACUUGACUUUUAAAGCAUUUGAGCUCGAGGACUCUUAAUGAGAGCUGCUAUGUGUCCCGAAUGUCCCUUCCUCAUUUGUCUCCUUGCUCACACUCUAAUAUUGAAUCUGAUAAUUUUACGCUACACUAAGUUGCAAUACAAUACUUAAAGAGAGUUGUCUCAAACUCAGUUCACCUCGGGGGCCGCUGUGGGCGCAUUCUAGCUGAGGCUGGGCCGCACAUGCACGCAAUUUAAAUGAGAAAUUUUAAAAAAACGGCUUUUUUUUUUUUUUUUGCGCAAAAUAAGAUAAGCAAGGAUGCUGGCGUAAACAAGUUGUGUGCAAAACUACUCAUGAAACUCUCCAUGGCAACACCAAUAUAACUUUUCAUUGAAAAAUGUUUCCCCGCUUGCAUCAAGCCUGGUCGCUGUCACACCCCCGAGAGCCACAACCCCACCGUGAUUUGUAGGUUCGUCAGCUUUGCACACAACACUGUAAAAGUGCCAUUCAUAUAAAGCUUCAGGGCCACACUGUCAUUUAAUUUUCAUAAUCAGGUGGGGCCCACAAAAUACCAUCUUGGGGGCCGCAAUUGGCCCACGGGCUGUGAGUUUGAGACCACUGCUUUAAGAUGACUUAUGGUGUGAUACAGUACAGUAUGUUACGCUACAAUAAGUUAGGCUCGCUCCAUGACAAUCAGUUAAAUGAUGUAACGCGAAAUUAUAUUAUAGGUUACAAUGUAGUACAUUAUGCUAUGAUAAAUUGCAAUGCAUUGUGCUACAAUACAUUGUGAUAGUGUCCAAUAUGUUACAAUACAAUACGUUGCAUGUAUGAUACAAUCUAGUGAAAUUGGGAAUUUUUUUUUCUACGACAUACAGUGAAGAAAAUAAGUAUUUGAACACCCUGCUAUAUUGCAA
Molecule: long non-coding RNA, 3021 nt
Organism: Syngnathoides biaculeatus (alligator pipefish)
Lineage: Eukaryota; Metazoa; Chordata; Actinopteri; Syngnathiformes; Syngnathidae
Exons: 7
Source: RefSeq, a predicted model, not a curated record